Molecule: ribosomal RNA, 467 nt
Filed under: uncultured bacterium
Lineage: Bacteria
Description: partial 16S ribosomal RNA
Rfam family: Bacterial small subunit ribosomal RNA
Source: RNAcentral
ACGAACGCUGGCGGCGUGCUUAACCCAUGCAAGUCGCACGGAAAGGCCCUGCUUUUGUGGGGUGCUCGCGUGGCGAACGGGUGAGUAACACGUGAGUAACCUGCCCUUGACUUUGGGAUAACUUCAGGAAACUGGGGCUAAUACCGGAUAGGAGCUCCUGCUGCAUGGUGGGGGUUGGAAAGUUUCGGCGGUUGGGGAUGGACUCGCGGCUUAUCAGCUUGUUGGUGGGGUAGUGGCUUACCAAGGCUUUGACGGGUAGCCGGCCUGAGAGGGUGACCGGCCACAUUGGGACUGAGAUACGGCCCAGACUCCUACGGGAGGCAGCAGUGGGGAAUAUUGCACAAUGGGCGGAAGCCUGAUGCAGCAACGCCGCGUGCGGGAUGACGGCCUUCGGGUUGUAAACCGCUUUCGCCUGUGACGAAGCGUGAGUGACGGUAAUGGGUAAAGAAGCACCGGCUAACUACGUG